Molecule: ribosomal RNA, 462 nt
Filed under: Triticum aestivum (bread wheat)
Lineage: Eukaryota; Viridiplantae; Streptophyta; Magnoliopsida; Poales; Poaceae
Description: partial small subunit ribosomal RNA
Source: RNAcentral
AUGCAAGCCCCCGGCGGGGACGGGGGUGGGGAUGUACACGGGGGAGGUGUCACGGGCAGGCACUACCCGGCUGGGUUUUCCUCAUUGCCAUCGUUAGGUGCUCCACUGGAGAAGAAGCCUCCUGAGCCUGAGGCAAGCCACGACACCGAUGAGCAGAAUCAGAAGAAACCUGAGGCAAAUCACAUCUAUGGCUCUUCUGAUAGUGCAGGGAUUGAGCAGAUUGAACAUCUCAUCUCCACGAGACAGGUCAAAAGAAGAAGAGUGAAAAUAACCUGGGCCUGCAUAAGGUUCUCAAAUAUAGUCAGUCCGAAAGAGACGCACAUAUUUAUAUAUGAUCUGAGAAAUGCAUGCGUGGACCUCGGAAUGGAUUUUACGACGGUGCAGACGAUAUCCGCCCACGCAGAUUGUGCUCUUAGAAUGGGCAUUGCGGGAGAUGCACGAAUUCAACGACAAAUGUCUUGA